UUCUUUCUUUUUUUCUUUUUUUUUUUUUCCCUCCCCCUGGUGUGAUUCAAAUACCAGGCUGAGGAGGUCAUUGAGAGGAAGGAUUUGUUCUGUGCUUGGCUGGCUGGAACCCAGUGUCAAGCUUGAGGCAGGAUUGUGCUUCAGGAGGCAGCCAACGCACAGAACACGCUGUGUAGAUGUCCUGCACAACGCUGAGGCUCCCUCUGUCCCUGCCCUGCAGUGACUUACCCACUGAAGGAAAGACACAGGCUGUGUUUCUCUCUGCAUACACAACAGCACUGCAGCACACUCAGGUCAGUUCUGCCUUUUCACCCUGAGGCUGAUCCCUGAGUCCUGCUGGGAAGUGUCCCCCGGCCUCUGGAGCCACCCGGCAGACAGCACAAAUGCCUGGUGGAAGGAUGCACCUCAAUGCUCGGAGCAGGGAUGGGAUCCAGGCUCACAUCCUCACUCCAGUGCAUGGCUGACAGACAGUCCAGGGGAGAUGAAGGCUGUGCAAGGCAGGGAUCACUGAGCAGGAGGGUCUGAGUGUCCCACGCCGGGUCUGGCACCACACGUGUGCUCUCCGCCGUGCGAUGAGGUGCAGGACGUGGAACUCCCAAUUGCCUCCUGCUCUCCAUCCACACCCCUGCUCUGCCCCCAGCUCUGCAUGCCUGCACAAAUGUCCCUGUGGAAGUGCUUUCAAGACAGCUGUGACAUUGCAGAACCCAGCUCAGCCACGGGGCUGCUUUUAUUGCAGAAAGGGGCACCGAAAAAUUCCUCUCUCCUUUCUAGUUAUGUCUUCUGUACAGGAAGUUUUUGAUAUGGCUUUGGUCCAGCUGGAUCUCUGAGGAAAGGAGAGUCUUUCCACACAUAAACCUGCCUUGAACUUUAUGGUUUUUUUAAAAACAAACAUUGACAAAGUUAAACAUGUCAUUGUCAGUUGGUUUAAUGAGAGCAGGGAGGGGAAAGAGGUUGUUUUAGGCAUGAGACUUCUUGCUCUUAAAAACAAAAUGGAAACUUAAAACCAAACAGUGCAUAUGGGCCCAAACGAUCUCUGCAGGCAAAGGGGCUGCAAAUAAAGAGGGUUAUUUUAAGGACUCAGUAAGUAAUGAAGUCCCCCUUUAGGCUGGGCUGAUCACAAGUGAAUGAAUAGUGACUCCAAUUUCAGAGCACACAGCCUGGGGAAGUCACAGCCCUGCCUGGCUGGCCUUUAAAGUACUUGAGGCCUCUCUGUGAGACUUAAUUUGAGGACAAAGGGAAUAAAAUAGGAAGCACAUCACUUUGUGGAUGCAUGUCCUUCUGUGACAGAAAUUCUCCCACAGGGAGGAAGAAGGACUCAACUUCACUGGCACAGCAAGGCCUCUCUGCCAACUCUCUCACAAAGGGUCUGAAGUAGAUAAAAACCUCCAAAAUCUGUCCACAUCAUCCCUGCCUUGUAAUGUUUUGUGAGGAAUGAGGACUAGAGAGAGCUCUUUGGGAAGAGCCCCAUAAAGGAGCAUGCAGUGCCACUGCCUCCAAAAAAAAUUACUCCUGAGGCUGCUUUUGGUGUUGGAAAUACUCAUUUUGGUUUUGUGCAAUAGGCACAGCUGGACUGGCAACAAAAUAAAUCUGACUGUGACUGCAGUGCACUUAUCUGGAUUGGCAGAGAGGGAUUUUGAGGGGCAGAAUGAGGGAUUUAUUGGAAUGUGGGCAUCUGAAAUGGGAAAGGGCAGGAUUCCACAAAAGGAAGUGAUGCCUUUCUCUCAGGGAAACCAGGCACAUCAGAGGGAACCAGAGACCUUGGAGAGCUCAGAGACCUUUUCUUCACCACUCCAGCAGAGCCAGUGCAUUCCUGAGCUCCAUGCAAGGCAUAUCUGACCUUAUUUCAGCCUCUCCUCUGAGGGAAACCAGCUAAUUCCAUCUGCAAGUCCAACCUGAGGCAGAGAAUUUUGGGAUUACACAAUAAUUCAAUUGAAUUUCUGUUGAAGAUUAUUCCCAGGGUAAAUACAAUUAUCUAGACAUGUGACAGCAAUUCAGGAGGAGCACAGUGUAGAAAUUGGUUGUGUUGAGUGACAUUCCUGGAUGUUUCUUAGCUGUACACAUAUGACAAAGAUGUCCAAGCUAGUGACUGAGGACUUGCAUCAACGUCUUCCCAAAGUGAGGGCUCACACUAAGAAUUUUCAAGCCGUGGAAAACAGAGAAAUAUGGACAAAAAUACACAAUGAGCAGACUGACAGGAAUUUGUGGCCUUUCCUCAAGAUCCCUUCAGCCAGCAGCAGUGGAGAAGCAUCAACUGCACAGGCUACGCUCCUUGCUGGGAUUGUUACUAAUAUCCAUCACAAUGAGAAAACUGCUCCCUCUUCCUCGUGAACAGAGAGGAUUUAAACAUCUCCCCUCUGCAGAAAACAGCAUGUGACACAAGCCUGGUGCCAUCAGCUCAGCUUCUGCAAAGAGGUCUCAAAAGUUACUACCCAAAUUUUCUUUUUGAGAAGGACUGGAUUAGCAAAAGGAACUCUGCUUUCCAGCAGACUGAUGUCUGUGAAUGUGCAAUGCUGCCAUCUCCGAGGGCUGCUCUGCUCUGAUCUUUCUGCUUAAUUUUGAAUUAAGGUGAGAGGAAUUCUCUAACUCCCUGAGACUUAAAAGCCCCUCUGCAGCUCAAUCUUCAGUCCCUGUGGGUUCUGUCCAAUUCCCUGUGCCCUUGGGUGUAAAGGAGAUCAUGAAAUGUUGAGAUAUACCUUGACUUGUCCAGUGCUGCACAUUAGUUCACAAUUAUAGCUCAGAGACAGCCCCGGGCUCUGCACGAACUGAAAUCAAUCACUGGCACUGACAGCUUGACAAAAGGGUCAGGGGAAAGAUUUCAAGUUAUUUUCCACGGUAGUGACUGCUCAAGUACUGAAAUCUGGCUGAGAUCCUGACUAGUUAAUCACUGCCAGGGAAGCUUUAACCUUUAGGUAUCAGAAGUGGCCACCCAUAACUGAAAUAAGGCUUGAAUUUAUGGUCACAUUACAAUGGAGAGCUUGUGGCACUUUUCCCCACCACUUUUAUGUGUCACUGCCCUGUUGAAACCAUGCUACAUAAAAACUGACAAAAUACUUGCAGAGGAUGGACAGGAUAAGGAAAAACAAUAGGAAAAGAAAAGAAAAAAAA
Parus major (Great Tit) is the source of this 3105-nucleotide long non-coding RNA. RefSeq lists it as uncharacterized. The record is from RefSeq and is a predicted model, not a curated record. Lineage: Eukaryota; Metazoa; Chordata; Aves; Passeriformes; Paridae. The transcript is spliced from 3 exons.